RNAcentral lists this ribosomal RNA (496 nucleotides) under uncultured bacterium. RNAcentral describes it as "partial 16S ribosomal RNA". It matches the Rfam family "Bacterial small subunit ribosomal RNA", at positions 29 to 507 of the family's 1533-position model. The record is from RNAcentral.
AUGAACGCUGGCGGCGUGCCUAAUACAUGCAAGUCGAGCGAACAGAUGAGGAGCUUGCUCCUCUGACGUUAGCGGCGGACGGGUGAGUAACACGUGGAUAACCUACCUAUAAGACUGGGAUAACUUCGGGAAACCGGAGCUAAUACCGGAUAAUAUAUUGAACCGCAUGGUUCAAUAGUGAAAGACGGUUUUGCUGUCACUUAUAGAUGGAUCCGCGCCGCAUUAGCUAGUUGGUAAGGUAACGGCUUACCAAGGCGACGAUGCGUAGCCGACCUGAGAGGGGGGUCGGCCACACUGGAACUGGGACGCGGUCCAGGCUCCUGCGGGAGGCAGCAGUAGGGAAUCUUCCGCAAAGGGCGAAAGCCUGACGGAGCAACGCCGCGUGAGUGAUGAAGGUCUUGGGAUCGUAAAACUCUGUUAUUAGGGAAGAACAAAUGUGUAAGUAACUAUGCACGUCUUGACGGUACCUAAUCAGAAAGCCACGGCUAACUACGUG